This 303-nucleotide ribosomal RNA is filed under the name uncultured bacterium. Its description in RNAcentral is "partial 16S ribosomal RNA". It matches the Rfam family "Bacterial small subunit ribosomal RNA", at positions 507 to 807 of the family's 1533-position model. The record is from RNAcentral.
AGCAGUAGCCGCGGUAAUACGGAGGGAGCUAGCGUUAAUCGGAAUUACUGGGCGUAAAGCGUGCGUAGGCGGUUCGUUAAGUCUGUUGUGAAAGCCCCGGGCUCAACCUGGGAAUGGCAAUGGAUACUGGCGAGCUAGAGUGUGUCAGAGGAUGGUGGAAUUCCCGGUGUAGCGGUGAAAUGCGUAGAGAUCGGGAGGAACAUCAGUGGCGAAGGCGGCCAUCUGGGACAACACUGACACUGAGGCACGAAAGCGUGGGGAGCAAACAGGAUUAGAUACCCCGGUAGUCCCUGUCUCUUAUAC